GAUGAAGAACGUAGCGAAAUGCGAUAAGUAAUGUGAAUUGCAGAAUUCCGUGAAUCAUCGAAUUUUUGAACGCAUAUUGCGCCCUCUGGUAUUCCGGAGGGCAUGCCUGUUCGAGCGUCAUUUCACCACUCAAGCCUCGCUUGGUAUUGGGCAACGCGGUCCGCCGCGUGCCUCAAAUCGUCCGGCUGGGUCUUCUGUCCCCUAAGCGUUGUGGAAACUAUUCGCUAAAGGGUGUUCGGGAGGCUACGCCGUAAAACAACCCCAUUUCUAAGGUUGACCUCGGAUCAGGUAGGGAUACCCGCUGAACUUAAGCAUAUCAAUAAGCGGAGGA
This 331-nucleotide unclassified non-coding RNA is filed under the name soil metagenome. RNAcentral describes it as "partial contains 5.8S ribosomal RNA, internal transcribed spacer 2, and large subunit ribosomal RNA". The stretch from base 1 to 120 matches the Rfam family "5.8S ribosomal RNA", at positions 35 to 154 of the family's 154-position model. The record is from RNAcentral.